UGGGGUGUAGCCAAGUGGUAAGGCAGCGGAUUUUGAUUCCGCCAUGCGGAGGUUCGAAUCCUCCCACCCCAGCCA
This 75-nucleotide transfer RNA is filed under the name Acidiphilium sp. RNAcentral's name for it is "tRNA-Gln". It matches the Rfam family "tRNA". From Rfam's summary of the family: Transfer RNA (tRNA) molecules are approximately 80 nucleotides in length. Their secondary structure includes four short double-helical elements and three loops (D, anti-codon, and T loops). The record is from RNAcentral. Lineage: Bacteria; Pseudomonadati; Pseudomonadota; Alphaproteobacteria; Acetobacterales; Acidocellaceae. RNAcentral also lists the same sequence under 5 other names.